RNAcentral lists this ribosomal RNA (1272 nucleotides) under Pareucalanus parki. Its description in RNAcentral is "SSU rRNA". It matches the Rfam family "Eukaryotic small subunit ribosomal RNA", at positions 452 to 1750 of the family's 1831-position model. The record is from RNAcentral. Lineage: Eukaryota; Metazoa; Arthropoda; Copepoda; Calanoida; Eucalanidae.
CCGCAGGUCGAGGUAGUGACGAAAAUAACGAUACGGGACUCAUCCGAGGCCCCGUAAUCGGAAUGAGUACACUUUAAAACCGUCCCCGAGGAUCUAUUGGAGGGCAAGUCUGGUGCCAGCAGCCGCGGUAAUUCCAGCUCCAAUAGCGUAUAUUAAAGUUGUUGUGGUUAAAAAGCUCGUAGUUGGAUCUCAGCAGUUUGAGGUUGGUGUACUUGCUAGUAUUACUGCCCUAUAGACUGUAGUUUUGCCAGAGGUAGUUGGGUGCUCUUAAUCGAGUGUCCUAUUAUGCUGGCAGGUUUACUUUGAAAAAAUUAGAGUGCUCAAAGCAGGCUAUUACGCCUGAAUAUUCGUGCAUGGAAUAAUAGAAUAGGAAGUCGUUUCUAUUUUGUUGGUUUUUAAGUUUCGACUUAAUGAUUAAUAGGGACAAACGGGGGCAUUAGUAUUCAAGCGACAGAGGUGAAAUUCUUGGACCGCUUGAAGACUAACUACUGCGAAAGCAUUUGCCAAGAGUGUUUUCAUUAAUCAAGAACGAAAGUUAGAGGUUCGAAGGCGAUUAGAUACCGCCCUAGUUCUAACCAUAAACGAUGCCAGCUAGCGAUCUGCCGACGUUUUUUUUGUAGACUCGGCAGGAAGCUUCCGGGAAACCAAAGCAUUUGGGUUCCAGGGGAAGUAUGGUUGCAAAGCUGAAACUUAAAGGAAUUGACGGAAGGGCACCACCAGGAGUGGAGCCUGUGGCUUAAUUUGACUCAACACGGGAAAUCUCACCAGGCCCGGACACUGGAAGGAUUGACAGAUUGAUAGCUCUUUCUUGAUUCGGUGGGUGGUGGUGCAUGGCCGUUCUUAGUUGGUGGAGUGAUUUGUCUGGUUAAUUCCGAUAACGAACGAGACUCUGUCCUGCUAAAUAGUGUCGGCUUCUCUUUUGAGCCGACAAUUCUUCUUAGAGGGACUGGCAACUCUCAGUUGCACGAGAUUGAGCAAUAACAGGUCUGUGAUGCCCUUAGAUGUUCUGGGCCGCACACGCGCUACACUGAAUAGAUCAGCGUGUUUUCCCUUUCUGAGAAGAACGGGUAAACCGCUGAACCCUAUUCGUGGUAGGGAUCGGGGCUUGCAAUUGUUCCCCGUGAACCAGGAAUUCCCAGUAGGCGCCAGUCAUAAGCUGGCGUCGAUUACGUCCCUGCCCUUUGUACACACCGCCCGUCGCUACUACCGAUUGAACGUUUUAGUGAGGUCCUCGGACUGUUUGGCUGGCGGAUUACUCUGCCUGCCUGGCGG